Molecule: ribosomal RNA, 301 nt
Filed under: uncultured bacterium
Lineage: Bacteria
Description: partial 16S ribosomal RNA
Rfam family: Bacterial small subunit ribosomal RNA
Source: RNAcentral
CAGCCGCCGCGGGAAUACGUAGGGUGCGAGCGUUAAUCGGAAUUACUGGGCGUAAAGCGUGCGCAGGCGGUUCGUUAAGACAGAUGUGAAAUCCCCGGGCUUAACCUGGGAACUGCAUUUGUGACUGGCGAGCUAGAGUAUGGCAGAGGGGGGUAGAAUUCCACGUGUAGCAGUGAAAUGCGUAGAGAUGUGGAGGAAUACCGAUGGCGAAGGCAGCCCCCUGGGCCAAUACUGACGCUCAUGCACGAGAGCGUGGGGAGCAAACAGGAUUAGAUACCCCUGUAGUCCCUGUCUCUUAUAC